RNAcentral lists this ribosomal RNA (252 nucleotides) under uncultured bacterium. RNAcentral's name for it is "partial 16S ribosomal RNA". It matches the Rfam family "Bacterial small subunit ribosomal RNA", at positions 524 to 776 of the family's 1533-position model. The record is from RNAcentral.
UACGGAGGAUGCGAGCGUUAUCCGGAUUUAUUGGGUUUAAAGGGUGCGUAGGCGGACGCUUAAGUCAGCGGUAAAAUUGCGGGGCUCAACCUCGUCGAGCCGUUGAAACUGGGUGCCUUGAGUGGGCGAGUAGUACGCGGAAUGCGUGGUGUAGCGGUGAAAUGCAUAGAUAUCACGCAGAACUCCGAUUGCGAAGGCAGCGUACCGGCGCCCAACUGACGCUGAAGCACGAAGGCGUGGGUAUCGAACAGG